GGAAUUGUGCCUGAAUGCUUAAGGACUACUUUGAUAGAGUACUCAACGGAGGUUCAAGUCCUCCCAAUUCCU
RNAcentral lists this transfer RNA (72 nucleotides) under Maurolicus muelleri (pearlsides). RNAcentral describes it as "tRNA-Ile". It matches the Rfam family "tRNA". From Rfam's summary of the family: Transfer RNA (tRNA) molecules are approximately 80 nucleotides in length. Lineage: Eukaryota; Metazoa; Chordata; Actinopteri; Stomiiformes; Sternoptychidae. The record is from RNAcentral.